UUAAGCUAAUAAGAGCGCAGGGAGGAUGCCUUGGCAUCAGGAGCCGAUGAAGGACGCGGUAAGCUGCGAAAAGCUCCGGGGAGUGGCAAGCACACAUUGAUCCGGAGAUGUCCGAAUGGAGCAAUCCACAUGAGUGAAGCUCAUGUAUCAUAUACUGAAUAAAUAGGUAUAUGAGGGGAACCGUCUGAACUGAAACAUCUAAGUAGGACGAGGAAAAGAAAUCAACCGAGAUUCCGCUAGUAGUGGCGAGCGAACGCGGAAGAGGCUAAACCAGAGUCAGCAAUGACUUUGGGGUUUGGACUGCAUUUAGUAUCAAUGAGGUCUAGUCGAAGUACAUGGGAAGGUACAUCGAAGAGGGUGAGAAUCCCGUAGACGAAAGAUCAAGUUGGCGAGCAGUAUCCAGAGUACCGCCGGACACGUGAAACCCGGUGGGAACAUGGGGGGACCAUCCUCCAAGCCUAAAUACUACCUGAUGACCGAUAGCGCAUAGUACUGUGAAGGAAAGGUGAAAAGAACCCCGGGAGGGGAGUGAAAGAGAGCCUGAAACCCUGUGCUUACAAGCACACAGAGCACGUCAAAGUGUGAUGUGGUACCUAUUGUAGAAUGGUCCGGCGAGUUAUUUUAUGCAGCGAGGUUAAGGACUUAAGGUCUGUAGCCGAAGUGAAAGCGAGUGUUAAUAGCACGAAACAGUUGCAUGCAAUAGACCCGAAACCGGGUGACCUAUCCAUGUCCAGGCUGAAGUGAGGGUAAAACCUCAUGGAGGGCCGAACCGACUCCCGUUGAAAUGGUAGCGGAUGAGGUGUGGAUAGCGGAGAAAUUCCAAUCGAACCCGGAUAUAGCUGGUUCUCCCCGAAACCGUUUUAGGACGGGCCUCGUGUGAAGAUUAUCGGAGGUAAAGCACUGAAUAGCCUAGGGGGCGAGAGUCUACCGAAGCUUAUCAAACUCUGAAUGCCGAAUAAUCGUUUCACGGGAGUCAGACUGUGUGAGAUAAGUUUCAUAGUCAAAAGGGAAACAGCCCAGACCCACAGCUAAGGUCCCAAAGUGUAUUUAAGUGGAAAACGAUGUGAAGUUGCGUAGACAACCAGGAUGUUGGCUUAGAAGCAGCCACUCAUUAAAAGAGUGCGUAAUAGCUCACUGGUCGAGUGACUUUGCGCGGAAAAUUUAACGGGGCUAAAAUACACACCGAAGCUUGGGCUUGACGCUUUUGCGUCAGGGGUAGGGGAGCGUCGUGUAAGGGGCGAAGUCGUAUCGUAAGGGACGGUGGACUUUACACGAGUGAGAAUGCCGGAAUGAGUAGCGAGAAUUAUGUGAGAAUCAUAAUGGUCGAAAGCCUAAGGUUUUUGGAGGAAGGUUCGUCCGCUCCAAGUAAGCCGGGAGCUAAGGUCAGGCGGAAACGCGUAGCCGAUGCACAUACGGUUGAAAUUCCGUAGCCUCAGAAAGAUUUAAGCGAAGGGACACUUUGAAAGGACUGUUGCCGGGUGUUGGUUACCCCGGUCGUAAGGGAACGAAAUUAAGUAGUGAAGGCAGUCUGGACGGAGGCGAGAAAAGCUUCGUGUAUAUCUUAUGAGCCCGUACCGCAAACCGACACAGGUAGGUGGGAUGAGAAUUCUAAGACCAACGGGAGAAGGGUAGUUAAGGAACUCGGCAAAUUGUCCCCGUAACUUCGGAAUAAGGGGAGCCUGCGAAAGCAGGCCGCAGAGAAUUGGCCCAGGCGACUGUUUAUCAAAAACACAGCUCUAUGCUAAAUCGAAAGAUGACGUAUAUGGGGUGACACCUGCCCGGUGCUGGAAGGUUAAGAGGAGAUGUGAGAGCAUCGAAUUGAAGCCCCAGUAAACGGCGGCCGUAACUAUAACGGUCCUAAGGUAGCGAAAUUCCUUGUCAGGUAAG
Molecule: ribosomal RNA, 1887 nt
Filed under: human gut metagenome
Description: bacterial LSU rRNA
Rfam family: Bacterial large subunit ribosomal RNA
Source: RNAcentral